This 654-nucleotide long non-coding RNA is filed under the name Homo sapiens (human). Its description in RNAcentral is "non-protein coding lnc-UBQLN2-4:1". Lineage: Eukaryota; Metazoa; Chordata; Mammalia; Primates; Hominidae. The record is from RNAcentral.
AAUUAAUAAAAUCCUGAAACUAAAUAACUCAUAAUUCAUUGCACAACAUAUAUUAGGUUUCAUUAGAUCAGUAUAUAGCUUAGUAGUAAACUCUCCUGAUGGCCAUAAACCUCUAAGGUGUUGUCAUCCUGAAAAAUGAAGGAGGGGAGGGAGCUGGUGGGGUGCAGAAUGGAGAAACCUUCCAUAGUGCUGGUGUGAUGUACCCUAAGUUGUAAAGUUAUAGGGCAUCGCCACCUAGUGGCAGAAUUUCAUGCCUUGUUCUAAUUAAGGGACUUUCCUUGUUUUCCAAAGAGCAAUGUGUCUUGUUCACUUUCUAACCAUCCCUCUCUGAUGCUGUCCUUCCUAAAAUCCAUGCCUCCUCCCAUACAGUGUAAACCCAUCUGCUUUUCAUCCAUCAAGCUGUCAAGGAUUUGGUUAUGACAAUUUUUAUGUUCACCUAACUUUUUAGUUCCAAGUACUUCGGUUAUUUUCAAAGCUACACACAGGAUGCCCAUAUUUUUAUAACUCCAUCUUAUUUGUGAAGGAUUAUUACUUUGUGCUUUGGCCUAGUUUUUAUUCUUACUGCUGAAUCUUUUCAUAAGUUAAAGUUAUUGCAGAGUUAAUGCUUUAAAAGGCAGUCCUUAGAGUAAAUAGCUAAAUGAAAUCAUUACCAAA